GACGAACGCUGGCGGCGUGCCUAAUACAUGCAAGUAGAACGCUGAAGGAGGAGCUUGCUCUUCUGGAUGAGUUGCGAACGGGUGAGUAACGCGUAGGUAACCUGCCUGGUAGCGGGGGAUAACUAUUGGAAACGAUAGCUAAUACCGCAUAACAGUAGAUGUUGCAUGACAUUUACUUAAAAGGUGCAAUUGCAUCACUACCAGAUGGACCUGCGUUGUAUUAGCUAGUUGGUGGGGUAACGGCUCACCAAGGCGACGAUACAUAGCCGACCUGAGAGGGUGAUCGGCCACACUGGGACUGAGACACGGCCCAGACUCCUACGGGAGGCAGCAGUAGGGAAUCUUCGGCAAUGGACGGAAGUCUGACCGAGCAACGCCGCGGGAGUGAAGAAGGUUUUCGGAUCGUAAAGCUCUGUUGUAAGAGAAGAACGAGUGUGAGAGUGGAAAGUUCACACUGUGACGGUAGCUUACCAGAAAGGGACGGCUAACUACGUG
This 495-nucleotide ribosomal RNA is filed under the name uncultured bacterium. RNAcentral describes it as "partial 16S ribosomal RNA". It matches the Rfam family "Bacterial small subunit ribosomal RNA", at positions 28 to 507 of the family's 1533-position model. The record is from RNAcentral.